AUAUUUCUUUACCUCAUGCAGAAUCUUAGAGCUCUGGCUUUGUGGCCCCAUGGCUGGGGGAGGGAGUGGAGAUGGAGGAACUUGUCACUGCUCCAUGCCCCAUUGUUGAAAUGGAAAAUGUGGAAAUGUUAAGCCAUUUCUAGAGGAUUGUGGAAGGGGGAGUUAACUGUGAAGGCACUUAAUCUCCUCAUUGAGGAACGCCGGACUUUGUUUCCAAUGGAGGAAUUUCUGGCAUCAGAGAGCAGAUAGGGCAGAGGUGCUUUCUUCUGCUGCUCCUCAAGGCUCACAGCUUGCUAUGGAAGCAUCCUUGGAGGACAUCUCCUUCCCUGGCCUUUCCAUCAACGUUGGUUAAUCCAAUCUCCACCUUUUCUUACGAGAUUGACAUGGUGAGUGAGGAAGCCAAGGACAUUGCAUCCACAUCUUAAACUUAAUCUCAGUACAUGAAAGGGGCUGCUUUGGAAAUAGAGAUUCAUGAAACAGGGAAAUCCCGUGGCCAGGAAACCCCUCGCUCUUCCCCACCCCACCCUGUGAGGAGUGUCUCCACUAGGAAGGAAAUUAAAUCAGUCUUCCAGCCACCAGAAUUGAAUUGGGAUGGAC
This 597-nucleotide small RNA is filed under the name Pongo abelii (Sumatran orangutan). RNAcentral's name for it is "processed transcript". The record is from RNAcentral. Lineage: Eukaryota; Metazoa; Chordata; Mammalia; Primates; Hominidae.